AUCAGUUCCGCGAAUCUGUGAAAUCGCGAAAAACUAAACGCGAUUAAACAAUAUCGAAAUUAAAAAUGUGCAAUAUAUUUCAUUAUGAAGCUAUUAACACGCACUGUAUCACAUGCAGAUGCUUGCGCAGACAGCUCAAAGUUCUGUUGUAAUUGUCGUCUUUUACCUUGUCGGGUUUCAGAUCGAAAUUGUCCUUGCUGUCUUUGCCAAUGUGUUCCAGCAUGUGUCUGGAAAGCCGCUCAAAAGAUAAUACUCCUGGCGAGAUCGAAACCAGCCACUUUUUUAUCCGGGCUGGGUUCGAAGCGGAUUCGAAGAUGAAUGACGAAGUAUUAGAAUGUAGAUUGAAUGGACGCGAUAUCGCUUAUGUUCACCUUUCUUAUCAUAUUUCAAUUUGUAAUUAUCAAUCGCGAGUAUGAUACUCUUACCCAACAAUCGCGAACAUCCCGCACGCGUGCCGAAUCAGAGCGAUGUAGCAAGAAUCAACUGCGAUCGUGAUGCUGAUAUGGGAGAAUACGGCUAAAUAACAGUGUACCGCCAUCGGAUACAAAUAUUGAUUUAACAUUUCUCCAUAUUCCACGCGAAGAGGUAGUUUCGCUUCCGCCACUAGAGAAGAUAUCGUCGCAUCCGAAGUAUCCUCCAGCAGAAUCGUUACGAUCGACUUUGAGAUGAGAAGAAUUCCUACAAACUGCAUGAAGACUGAAAACACGAGAUACGCAUUAGAUCGCUUUGGCUUGGUUUUCAAAAAAAGAACGUGAUAUCUUCUAAAGCAGUUUCCAUGACAUACUUCCAUAUGUUAGCGUGAUAUAUCGUCCGUAUGCAGUGUGACGUUGUAGAAUGUUUCUUUCUAUAUCCGUAUUCAACGAUAACCAAUCGUCCUCCAUUGUUUUUAGACAGGUCUUCAACUAUAAAUACAAGAUGUAUGUUGGAGGAUAAAAAGAAAAGACAAGCGAUACAAUUAGUGACCACCUACUUGUGGUAUAAGAAUGGUGAUGGAAAACGUAAACAUCGGCACAAAAAGAAAACACCUGUCGCGAAACCUGUGAUAAGGCCAUAUUCCUACUAAACUCAUGUACGCUCUAGGAACUGUAUAAAAGCGGCUUUGCCAAAUGUUCUUUCGUUCAUCCAUUUUCAGAAACACUAAGACUACGAAUUAUCGACGAUUUCUUGUGAAUACACACGUCACAGUCGUCACUCGAACCUUUAGAGAAACAUUAAUUAUAUCUUAAGACUAAAGAUGCAAGAGAAACUAUCAAAUAAUAAAGUUAUAUUUACCACGCCGAAACU
Molecule: long non-coding RNA, 1284 nt
Organism: Acromyrmex echinatior (Panamanian leafcutter ant)
Lineage: Eukaryota; Metazoa; Arthropoda; Insecta; Hymenoptera; Formicidae
Source: RefSeq, a predicted model, not a curated record